RNAcentral lists this long non-coding RNA (1393 nucleotides) under Brassica rapa (field mustard). Its description in RNAcentral is "long non-coding RNA (BRAP_LNC005117)". Lineage: Eukaryota; Viridiplantae; Streptophyta; Magnoliopsida; Brassicales; Brassicaceae. The record is from RNAcentral.
UCGUGCAGUAAACACAUCAUAUAUUCUCGCUCUACAGAAUCAAUAGCUGAAGUACAAAAAGAUGUAAAAACAAAAGUAACACCAAACAGAUAACCCUCAUGUCCUGAAGCAAUUAAUAGAACCUUCAGUGCCACCAUAUCUCAUUUGAAUACAAUAAAAAAACGACCAGUCAUUGGAAUCAUACCUCAAUUCAAGUCUAUAGACUCUCCACUCUCUUCUUCUUUCUCCUUCUCUUUAUCCUCUUCUUCUUUCUCCUCUUCUGUCUUCUCAACAGACUCAUCACCUACCAAAAAUGAGAAAGGAGCAGUUAUCAUGGUUGAAUAAGUCUGAAGAGAAAGGAUCAAUCAAAGAGAAAUAAUAUUAGCAAACUGUGUUUCUGAAUCCAAACAAUCUAAACAAGUACUCAGUUAAGAGAAUAAAACUAACGUAUGAAAGUUUACAAGUACUCAGUUAUGACUAUAAGAUAGAAACUCAGAGAGACCUCAUGAGUAUACAUCAGCAACUCAGAAUGAAGCUAAACCCACAACAAAACUUAAAACGAUACAUAUGAAGUAACUCAGGAAACCCAAGUAAGCAAGCACAUUACCAUAAACAUGAGUACAAAAACCAAAUAGACUAACUGCAACUAAGCAAAUGCGUUGCAUUUUAUCAGGCAGUGCUGCAGAUACCUGAACCAAGAUAACAUUUAGUUUGUUGAAAGACGCUUCAUUACCCGAGAGCUGAAAGACGCUUCAUUAUCCGAGAGCUGCAAGGAAACAUCAUUGACAAAGGAGUUAGCAUAACCCUCCAAUUAUAUACAGAGAACAACUCAACGCAUUCAAAAGUCUAUACCGUUACAACGAACAGUUUUAAUUGACACUUCGAAAAAAAACAGAACCAGUCCAGGAAGCAUUGGUGAUUAAUAAGAGCAAAUAAAAUAUGCCAAACGUUUUACAAGCAAUAACCACUCUAAAUAAGCAUAUGCACUACACCAAAAUCUCUCUAAAAGAAAUGAGACAACAACUAGGUUAAUGCAUAACACUCAUUGAUCAGGACUCUAAACACAAAUAUUCAGAGAGCCAAUUUCAUAUCCGAUGAGAAUAUGCGUAUAAUCAACAGAUACAAGAGCCUCACAACUAGAUUGUUAGCAGUUUUACUGUUUCCACAACAGAUACAAACCCACAACAGAGAAUCAUGAAACGAGAUAAGAUAAGGAACUUGACUAACUACAUCAUCAUAAACAAAACGAGAUUCAUCACAAAACUCACAACAGAGAAUCAUGAAACGAGAUCCAUCAUCACACAACUAAAACUCAAAGUUAUAGAAACAUAAGACCAAAGCUAAAACUCAAGAAUCUUGCCUGAAAUUGCGAGAAGAAGAAGUCACACGCCAGAGAAGAUGAAUCCAGAAGAAG